GACGAACGCUGGCGGCGUGCCUAAUACAUGCAAGUCGAGCGGASUUGAUGRRGWGCUUGCWYUYCUGAKRSUUAGCGGCGGACGGGUGAGUAACACGUAGGCAACCUGCCCUCAAGACUGGGAUAACUACCGGAAACGGUAGCUAAUACCGGAUAAUUAAAUUCGCUGCAUGGCGGAUUUAUGAAAGGCGGAGCAAUCUGUCACUUGAGGAUGGGCCUGCGGCGCAUUAGCUAGUUGGUGAGGUAACGGCUCACCAAGGCGACGAUGCGUAGCCGACCUGAGAGGGUGAACGGCCACACUGGGACUGAGACACGGCCCAGACUCCUACGGGAGGCAGCAGUAGGGAAU
This 348-nucleotide ribosomal RNA is filed under the name Paenibacillus sp. R-30934. RNAcentral's name for it is "partial 16S ribosomal RNA". It matches the Rfam family "Bacterial small subunit ribosomal RNA", at positions 28 to 362 of the family's 1533-position model. Lineage: Bacteria; Bacillati; Bacillota; Bacilli; Caryophanales; Paenibacillaceae. The record is from RNAcentral.